AUCACUGGGCGUAAAGCGUGCGUAGGCGGUUCGGUAAGUCGAAUGUGAAAGCCCGCGGCUCAACCGCGGAACUGCAUUCGAAACUGCCGGGCUUGAGUACGGGAGAGGUAAGUGGAAUUCCUGGUGUAGCGGUGAAAUGCGUAGAUAUCAGGAGGAACACCGGUGGCGAAGGCGGCUUCCUGGACCGAUACUGACGCUGAGGCACGAAAGCUUGGGGAGCGAACGGGAUUAGAUACCCCGGUAGUCCUCGCCGUAAACGGUGAGCACUAGGUGUAGGGGGUUUUCACCCCUUCUGUGCCGGAGCUAACGCAUUAAGUGCUCCGCCUGGGGAGUACGGUCGCAAGAUUAAAACUCAAAGGAAUUGACGG
Molecule: ribosomal RNA, 368 nt
Filed under: uncultured bacterium
Lineage: Bacteria
Description: bacterial SSU rRNA
Rfam family: Bacterial small subunit ribosomal RNA
Source: RNAcentral